CCUACGGUAGGCAGCAGUGAGGAAUAUUGGUCAAUGGGCUAAGGCCUGAACCAGCCAAGUCGCGUGAGGGAAGACGGUCCUAUGGAUUGUAAACCUCUUUUGUCGGGGAGCAACGAGGCCACGUGUGGCCGAAGUGAGAGUACCCGAAGAAAAAGCAUCGGCUAACUCCGUGCCAGUAGCCGCGGUAAUACGGAGGAUGCGAGCGUUAUCCGGUUUUAUUGGGUUUAAGGGGUGCGUAGGCGGAUUUUUAAGUCAGCGGUCAAAUCGUGGGGCUCAACCCCAUCCAGCCGUUGAAACUGGGGAUCUAGAGUGUGCGAGAGGUAUGCGGAAUGCGUGGUGUAGCGGUGAAAUGCAUAGAUAUCACGCAGAACCCCGAUUGCGAAGGCAGCAUACCGGUGCACAACUGACGCUCAGGCACGAAAGCGUGGGUAUCGAACAGGAUUAGAUACCCUGGUAGUC
This 459-nucleotide ribosomal RNA is filed under the name uncultured bacterium. RNAcentral's name for it is "partial 16S ribosomal RNA". It matches the Rfam family "Bacterial small subunit ribosomal RNA", at positions 338 to 795 of the family's 1533-position model. The record is from RNAcentral.